GGAGAGGUGCCUGAGUUUGGUUUAAAGGGUCCGACUCGAAAUCGGAUGUCCGCCUAAUAAGUGGACCGGGAGUUCAAAUCUCCCCCUCUCCG
RNAcentral lists this transfer RNA (92 nucleotides) under Candidatus Omnitrophota bacterium. RNAcentral describes it as "tRNA-Ser". It matches the Rfam family "tRNA". From Rfam's summary of the family: Transfer RNA (tRNA) molecules are approximately 80 nucleotides in length. Their secondary structure includes four short double-helical elements and three loops (D, anti-codon, and T loops). The record is from RNAcentral. Lineage: Bacteria; Pseudomonadati; Candidatus Omnitrophota.